Molecule: RNA transcript, 3476 nt
Organism: Linepithema humile (Argentine ant)
Lineage: Eukaryota; Metazoa; Arthropoda; Insecta; Hymenoptera; Formicidae
Gene name: anoctamin-4-like
Source: RefSeq, a predicted model, not a curated record
ACGGACACAAUGUCAGAAAUUAUUGUAACAAAAGAAAACGUGUGGUAAUAUUACGAAAAAGUGUCGGGUUACCAAGCAAAAUGCAGGUUUUGCAAACGAAAACUUAUUUACAUCAGUUUAAAAUUCGGUCAGCAUAUGAGUAAAAAGCAUCCUGAUAUAAAUGAAAACGAAGAAACAUAUAAAGGACGACAAGAAUGGCCAUGGAUAUAUUUCAAGUACAACGAUACUUCUAUCUCACUAUGUCUUCUCUGUCGUCAGAAUCUUCGAACCGAUUUUCAAUCUUCAGCAAAUCAUUUAACACAGAAGCAUUUUAACGAAGUGGAGAGUUACGUACUUUACGAUUGGACAUGGAAAUAUUGUACAAAAAUUAGUGAUUUUGAAAUUAAAUGUAUGGAGUGUAACAUCGAAUCAUCUAUUUAUCUCUAUACUCAGUUGAAUAGACAUAUAGUAAAUAAACAUUUGGAAGAAUUAAGAAAUGCGCAAAAAAUAGGUGACAUAGCUCUUUCGUCAGAAUCCGUUUGGAAUUUAAAAAUUAUGGAAGUUAAAGAAAACAUGUGGAAAUAUUAUACUAAACUGUCGUCUUUUCGAGCAAAAUGCAAAUCGCAAUACUGCGCCUAUGAAUGUAAUUAUAAUUAUAUUUAUGAUUUUUCUGUGCACAUAAACGUAAAGCAUGAAUUAAUCUCUAAAUAGGAAGAGGAACACAAAAAUCAAAAACCAUGGGGACCCAGAAGUUUUUUUCCCAAAUACUUAGAAAUGUGGUGCUACAAAACGGAUUUGACAUGAUCUUCGUGGCUGCUUUCCCAUUGGCACCAUUCUUCGCGUUACUGAACAACAUUUUCAAGAUGAGAUUGGAUGCAAAGAAGUUGGUGACCAUGUACAGGCGACCGUUUGGUCAGCGAAUCAGAAACAUAGACAUAUGCUACCGCAUACUCGAUUCCAUUUCUAAAUUAUCCGUUAUUACCAAUGCAUUCAUCAUAGCUUUUACUUCAAACUUUAUACCGAAACUAGUUUAUUGUAUGACAAUUUCUGAUAAUUACUUGCUUGAAGAUUUGUCGUUAUCCGGAUUACAGAGAACCACCCGAAUCGCCUUACAAGUAUGAUUACACCAUCAUGUUCUGGCAUGUACUAACAGUUGGAUUAGCUUUAAUCGUCGUAUUUGAGAAUUUUGUGACACUUGUGAUGAUCUUCGUGCAUUGAUGGUGCAUUCCUGACAUUAGUUCUAAACUAUGCGACAGGAUACGUCGCGAAGCAUACAUCACUAAUGAAAUCAUUAUACAUCAAGAAGCACUGCGAGCGGCUUGCGAAAGAUCUGAUACUAAUGGCGGUAUCGAAUCGCAAGUUGCGCAAACAUACGUAGUUGCCAACGAGAAUGCGGAUAGAUAAAACAGAGUAAUGAGAAAUUCUCUCUCGACUUCUGAUUUUGAUUUGGAGGUCCUCUGUCGCCCGCUAAUACAGCUCCGCGUAUUAGCCCUGCUGCGUUAUAAUAAAUACUAAGAAAAUUCGUCAAAUUGGCGUGAUUCGCGAGUAGCAUAGUUUUUUUAGCAUUAUUAGGUUGAUACAUAAGGUUUAUCGUUUUUGUCAAAUACUGAGAAUUAAAAACAAAGUACGUAUUGCUCAAUUUUUAUAAUUAAUUUUUAUUAAUUAAAAUAGUCACUAUUAACUUUAAUAUUCUUUCUACUUCGAUAGAAGAAGUAAGAUUUUUGUUAUUUAUUAAAAAAGUAUAUUAAAAAAAGGAAGUAGUUGAAAUACGACAAUCUCCUUGCCAAUGGCGUAACUAUCGGAGUGGCAGAAAGAGCUGCGCCCAAUUUUCAAUAUAUACUUAUAAGAAUAAGUCAAGGAACUUCUGUGUGAUAUGUCAAAUGCCUUUUAAACAGAUUCUUUUAACGAUGACGACAAUAGUUACGCGAAUUUGAGAUGUUACUUCCAGCACUUUUGUCACUUUAAUAAUUCUUUUUACUACUUCUAACAGAAACACGACUAAAUCGCGCUGCGAAACACGGUUGCCAUUUUCUCGCGCUUUGCUGGCGAAGCAAGAAGAAUGACAUUCGCAUUUUCUUCCGUCGAAGAUGCAACGGAAUGGAAAUAAACGCAUAGUUAACGCGAAAUAUCCGUUAUGAUCCUGUUUUACGAAGAUCCUCAGCGGUCUCAGUGCUGUGGGACAAAAAUAAUUACAAACAAAUUCUAAAAUCGCAUCUUGCCUAAAGCGAAAAUUUUGCCGAAUACUUCUGGAGAAUGCAUCACUUUUGGAGACUGCUUCACUUUGCAGAAUGCUUCAAUAUCUGAAAAAGAUUCACGUUGUAUUCUGCCGCAAAUCGACGCGUCAUUUCAUAUUCACCUAAUCCUUUUCAGUGUUGGAAAACCAAACUGAAAGAAAGUAGUGACUUUGUAUCGAGCUUUCUCAAAAUCAUGCUCGCAACUUCUGGUAAUGGUUGAGAAAUGUAGUCCACUUUUGGCACAUUAUCAUCGUCAUCGAUGGAUUCUACAAAUGUUCUACAAAUAAAAUGUUAUAAAAGAAGAGGAGAGGAGAGGGAAGAAUGAAAAGUUGAGGAGAAAAGGGAAAAAAGUUGGAAAUAUAUUUUAUUCCAACUAUUAUUAUACAUUAUGUAUAUAUCGUUAUACAUAUUCUCUCAGUUUUUAAAUUUUUAUAUUUAUUUGAAAUAAAAUUUAGACAACUCUGAGAUAAUAAGUAUAACGAUACAUAAUGUAUAAUAAUGAAACAAAAUGUAUUUCCAACUUUCUUCUCGCUUCUCUUCCCCUUUUCAUUCUUUUCAUUCCCCUCUCUUCCUAUUCUUUUAUAACAUUUUAUUUGUUCUUGUUCCCCCUAUCACUAAUUUUAAUAGGUUUUUCCAUAAAACAUGGUGGGACAUUUACUAUAUAUAAUGCGGUAAUGCAGCAGUCAUGCCAGAAGUGACAUCGCUACUGCACAGUAAAGAGCAUUACUCUUCUUGUAUAAACGAUGGCAGAGAUUAAUACACUUGUGGAAUCCAUUGAUGGUGAUUUUAAUGGGCAAAAAGUGGACUAUUUCUCAACUACCACCAGAAGUUGCGAGCAUAAUUUUAAGAAAGCUCGAUACAAAGUCACUAUUUUCUUUCGGUUUAGUUUCCCAACACUAAAAAGAGUUAAGUAAAUAUGAAAUAAUGCGUGAAUUUGCGACACAAUACAACGUGAAUCUUUUUCAGAUAUUGAAGCAUUCUGCAAAGUGAAGCAGUCUCUAAAGUGAUGCAUUCUUUAGAAGUGUUCGGUAAAGUCGCUUCACGCAAGAUGCGAUUUUAGAAUUUGUUUGUAAUUAUUUUUGUAGAUUAAGGAUAGAAAUAAAAAAUGUAUAUUAAGUUAGAUUUAUGUGUGCUCGCGUGAUAAAUAGUAAAGUAUUAGUAAACAUAAAUGUACAUUAGCAAUAUUGCGAAACUGACGAAAGUUCUUGGAACCCCAUAAGAGGACCAAAUAAAGAGUAUUAUAUAUAAUAAAAGAUUUACAAU